GAUGAACGCUGGCGGCGUGCCUAACACAUGCAAGUCGAGCGAAGCGCUCAGGAGGAAGUUUUCGGAUGGAAUCCUGAAUGACUGAGCGGCGGACGGGUGAGUAACGCGUGGGUAACCUGCCUCAUACAGGGGGAUAACAGUUGGAAACGGCUGCUAAUACCGCAUAAGCGCACAGUACCGCAUGGUACGGUGUGAAAAACUCCGGUGGUAUGAGAUGGACCCGCGUCUGAUUAGCUAGUUGGUGGGGUAACGGCCUACCAAGGCGACGAUCAGUAGCCGACCUGAGAGGGUGACCGGCCACAUUGGGACUGAGACACGGCCCAAACUCCUACGGGAGGCAGCAGUGGGGAAUAUUGCACAAUGGGGGAAACCCUGAUGCAGCGACGCCGCGUGAGUGAAGAAGUAUUUCGGUAUGUAAAGCUCUAUCAGCAGGGAAGAAAAUGACGGUACCUGACUAAGAAGCCCCGGCUAACUACGUGCCAGCAGCCGCAGUAA
This 495-nucleotide ribosomal RNA is filed under the name uncultured bacterium. RNAcentral's name for it is "partial 16S ribosomal RNA". It matches the Rfam family "Bacterial small subunit ribosomal RNA", at positions 28 to 523 of the family's 1533-position model. The record is from RNAcentral.